GAAUAUUUGGCAGGGUUUUGUCAAUAAAAACGUAUGUUACUUAAAAGCUGAGCAACUCGCCAUUUAAAAUUGACCACAUACAUUUGGUCAAGCGCACGGACCUUGGUCUAUUCCCCAUACAUUUACUGACUUUCUUAGUCAAAUACGCAUUGCAACGCCCCGUGCUUCAACCGUCUAUAAGCUGUGAAUUGGCGAAGCUAACAUAUGUCAAAUCGAAAUUUUAGAUGUGCUGACAUACGGAUCUGUAGCGUAGUUCAUGGUCUAGUUUAGAUUGAAGGUGACAGUUUGGUUUUAUAGUUGGCAAAGUGAUUUCAAACACAUCAGUGAAAGCUAUCUUUAUUCUAUGAACUGUAUACUUCAGCUAAUGUGAGAUUAUGCCAUCAUUUAUAGGUUAUAUUUGUUAUGUUGCAACCUUUUCACGUUGCUCAAAAUGGACGGUAGCACUAAAGGUUAUUAACUCUCAUUCUGGAGCGUAAGUGACCUGCCUUUCAUUUUCAACCUUACACAACCUAUUCCUCUGUCUUGGCCGAGGAAGGAACUAUUACUUCCAAAAGGGUGGAUAAUAUGUAUAUUUAUGUGUGUUUAUUGGCAGCAGGAUAAGUACUGGACAAAUGUUAUAAGAUGAAAUCAACUAAAGUGAAACAAAGCUGUCUCACAGUAAUAUGGUAUUUGUCACAGAGCAAUUAAAAUAGAUCUCUCAAAAUGCCCAUACACGCAGAUAUAUAAAUAUGAUUUUAUGCAGAUAGAUCAGCCGUGACCUUGCUGAACGAACCAGCGCUCCAUUUGCCUGAAAUGCUGUAGGAAAACUUUAGUCAGAUUGAACGGAGAGGGCAAACUCCAUGCUCCUGUGUAUGAGACAACUUGUAAUGUCACAUCACCUCAUGAAGAAUGAGAUGUUGGGAUCAGAAAAAUGAUAAGACUGUACUAUUGUGCACUGUAGUUCUUG
Molecule: long non-coding RNA, 946 nt
Organism: Schistocerca piceifrons (Central American locust)
Lineage: Eukaryota; Metazoa; Arthropoda; Insecta; Orthoptera; Acrididae
Exons: 3
Source: RefSeq, a predicted model, not a curated record